GCGUUCGUAGCACAACGGUAAGUGUGCCCGACUGUGACUCGGUAGAUGAGGGUUCGAUUCCCUCCGAUCGCCCCA
This 75-nucleotide transfer RNA is filed under the name marine sediment metagenome. RNAcentral's name for it is "tRNA-His". It matches the Rfam family "tRNA". Rfam says of the family: Transfer RNA (tRNA) molecules are approximately 80 nucleotides in length. Their secondary structure includes four short double-helical elements and three loops (D, anti-codon, and T loops). Further hydrogen bonds mediate the characteristic L-shaped molecular structure. tRNAs have two regions of fundamental functional importance: the anti-codon, which is responsible for specific mRNA codon recognition, and the 3' end, to which the tRNAs corresponding amino acid is attached (by aminoacyl-tRNA synthetases). tRNAs cope with the degeneracy of the genetic code in two manners: having more than one tRNA (with a specific anti-codon) for a particular amino acid; and 'wobble' base-pairing, i.e. permitting non-standard base-pairing at the 3rd anti-codon position. The record is from RNAcentral.